GACGUAGGGCGCGAGCGUUGUCCGGAUUUAUUGGGCGUAAAGAGCUCGUAGGCGGCUUGUUGCGUCAGCUGUGAAAACCCGCAGCUCAACUGUGGGCUUGCGGUCGAUACGGGCAUCACUGGAGUUCGGCAGGGGAGACUGGAAUUCCUGGUGUAGCGGUGAAAUGCGCAGAUAUCAGGAGGAACACCGGUGGCGAAGGCGGGUCUCUGGGCCGAUACUGACGCUGAGGAGCGAAAGCGUGGGGAGCGAACAGG
RNAcentral lists this ribosomal RNA (254 nucleotides) under uncultured bacterium. RNAcentral's name for it is "partial 16S ribosomal RNA". It matches the Rfam family "Bacterial small subunit ribosomal RNA", at positions 524 to 776 of the family's 1533-position model. The record is from RNAcentral.